This 74-nucleotide transfer RNA is filed under the name Geotrichum candidum. RNAcentral describes it as "transfer RNA-Arg (ACG)". It matches the Rfam family "tRNA". From Rfam's summary of the family: Transfer RNA (tRNA) molecules are approximately 80 nucleotides in length. Their secondary structure includes four short double-helical elements and three loops (D, anti-codon, and T loops). Further hydrogen bonds mediate the characteristic L-shaped molecular structure. tRNAs have two regions of fundamental functional importance: the anti-codon, which is responsible for specific mRNA codon recognition, and the 3' end, to which the tRNAs corresponding amino acid is attached (by aminoacyl-tRNA synthetases). tRNAs cope with the degeneracy of the genetic code in two manners: having more than one tRNA (with a specific anti-codon) for a particular amino acid; and 'wobble' base-pairing, i.e. permitting non-standard base-pairing at the 3rd anti-codon position. Lineage: Eukaryota; Fungi; Ascomycota; Dipodascomycetes; Dipodascales; Dipodascaceae. The record is from RNAcentral.
UUCCUUGUGGCCCAAUGGCAAGGCGUUCGCCUACGAUUAGCGAAAGAUUCCAGGUUCGACCCCUGGCAAGGAAG